Molecule: long non-coding RNA, 796 nt
Organism: Esox lucius (northern pike)
Lineage: Eukaryota; Metazoa; Chordata; Actinopteri; Esociformes; Esocidae
Exons: 3
Source: RefSeq, a predicted model, not a curated record
CUCGAGAAGAGUUGCUCUAACUCUUGGUUAUUGGACCCUCCCGGAACCCAGCGCUGGCUGUACUAGUGAUUGACUGAAUAAAGAGUACAUGUCACAAGUGUGUGGAGAGGGCGCCGGGGUGGCCGGGACAGGAGAGGGCGCCGGGGCGGCCGGGACAGGAGAAACAAAACACUGAAGUCAAGAGAAACAAAACACUUGGAUAGAUCAUCACUGCCAUUCCAGGACAAAUCACUUGGAGUGUUCUAAAUUGUUUCUGCUCAACUUCACAUCUAGGUCAUUGUUUUGGCCGGCACACAAUUAAAAUGAGGCAGACAAAGCACAACCUUCCCCUUCAACCUGCACAGCACCGUGGUCAUCGCCUAAUGCAAUGCAGCCCAUUGCAGGCACAGAUGAGGGACUCAUUGGAAAGUAAUGUGUUGUAAAAUAUGAUGAAGACCCUUGCCCUGGUAUUAUACAAGAUGUAGACGAUUAUUUUGGCCAAUGAGAGAGGACAUUGUAUGGUACCAGAAAAUGUGCAUGGGCUUGUCCCUGAUCCUCAUCCAAUAACAAAACACCAUAUGAUGCUUAAUGAUGCAAUCUGGGAGAACAUUUUCUCACUUGUUAAGACAGAGAGCAUUAAGAACAAAACCUAAACAUGCAUCUCAUGAGUCUGAAUAAAUAAACUGCAGCCAGUAAACAAUAAGUUGUUUACUGUCAACUAGUGUUUCCAGCCUUGUACAUGUAUUUCUGCCUAAUGCAUUGAAUCCCAAAAUGUUUCUAAAAGAUUAUUUAAGGUCUUGAUGCAUGUAACCUUUGU